Non-coding RNA from Paramuricea clavata, 696 nucleotides. NCBI's taxonomy places the organism in Eukaryota, Metazoa, Cnidaria, Anthozoa, Malacalcyonacea, Plexauridae. The record is from the annotation of a GenBank genome assembly.
GAUUUUUGCAUUUUUUGCAGUCGCAUUGUUUUGAAACUUAUUCGGUCAAAUUUUAUGGUAAAGAGAAACGUACCGCGAAGAUUUUGAGCAUAUAUAUGAUUGAAUUGGAUGAAAACUCGCAAAAUUAUCCAACGAUAACUAUACUAUAUAUGUAACUUGUACAGUUUUGCUUUAAUUAUUGCUCACUAUUUGCAUAGAAAGCAAAUUAUAACAGACCAUAGAUGAUAAACCCUUAUCCAGUGCUCUCAUCAGUUUACUAACAAGCAAGGAGGGGGGGGGGGUACAUAACAGUUCAUUUUUCAUAAUUAUGAGGACAGAGCCGAUGAUGAUGAAAGAUUCAAGUAUAAAACACCAUUCACAAGACUAGAUGUUAACAUAGCACAGUAUUUCUGGCAAUAAAACGCUCCAACUGACGAACUGACCAUUUCACACGAACUUUUAUCGCUGGAUAAUUUUGCGAGUUUUCAUCCAAUUCAAUCAUAUAUAUGCUCAAAAUCUUCGCGGUAAGUUUCUCUUUACCAUAAAAUUUGACCGAAUAAGUUUCAAAACAAUGCGACGGCAAAAAAUGCAAAAAUUUUGAUUUUCGUAAUAGAAUCUACAGUCUUUUUGCCCUCUUGUACCGACAUCUUGGAUUUAUCAUGUAGGCCCCGCCUGCGCUGGGUAUGCGUUAGCAAUCUAGAUCUCCUAUAUCUAUGG